GGAGAGAGAGCUCAGUGGUUAAGAGCACUGGCUGCUCUUCCAGAGGUCCUGAGUUCAAUUCCCAGCAUCUACA
Molecule: non-coding RNA, 73 nt
Organism: Rattus norvegicus (Norway rat)
Lineage: Eukaryota; Metazoa; Chordata; Mammalia; Rodentia; Muridae
Source: Rfam